UGAGCAAUCUGCCCUUCUCAUCGGAAUAAGCGUUGGAAACGACGUCUAAUGCCGAAUACGACCUCCUUUCGCAUGAUUGGAGGUGGAAAGCUCCGGCGGAGAAGGAUGAGCUCGCGGCCUAUCAGCUAGUUGGUGUGGGUAACGGCCCACCAAGGCGACGACGGGUAGCCGGCCUGAGAGGGUGACCGGCCACACUGGGACUGAGACACGGCCCAGACCUCCGUACGGGA
Molecule: ribosomal RNA, 230 nt
Filed under: uncultured bacterium
Lineage: Bacteria
Description: partial 16S ribosomal RNA
Rfam family: Bacterial small subunit ribosomal RNA
Source: RNAcentral